UUAUUUGUGCAAGAAAAGUUGGUGAAUGCAAGUGUGAGUUGCUAAGUAACUGGGGUGGGGUUUAUGGUGAAGUUGCCAGGGAAGAGGAGAACUCUACAGAGCUUCUACAAAGAUUUCAGAGAGAUAGGCGGAUACUAUUGAAUUUCAUUCUUUCAGGAAGCUUAAUCAAGAAAGUGGUAAUGCCUCCCGGAGCUGUUUCCUUGGCUGAUGUGGAUCUUGAUCAACUCGUUGAUUUUGUCCUUAAUUGUGCAAGAAAAGGCGAACUCCUUGAACUAUCUGACAGCAAUCUGUUCCCUCAUAUGGUAAAUUCGGAUUUGCACAUUCAUUAUUAUAUGUUCAAUGGUCAUUAUUUAUGAAUGUUCUUGUUCGGGAUUGCAAAUACAUUGAUUUCUGUUCAAUAUUUACUAUUUGUGAAUGUUCCAUUUACCGAGGCUUAUCUAUUGCAGCUUAGAAUUAUUUUCAUAUGGGGUUGUUGUGUAGCAAUUUUUCCUAUCCCAAAACAUUAUUUAGUGUGUUCUAUGCACAUCAAUGUUUAUUUUCAUUCUUCAACGCUUUCCUUUUUGUAUUAAGAGUAAUGCAGGUUCAAAUGAUGAAUUCUUUCUAGCUACAAAUCCUGAACUAUCGGGUUUGCCUCCAAGAAGAUUACCCCCGCCUGUCCCUAUUUCCACACCAUCACCAAUUUUGCCAACACUCUCCACAUCAGAAUCAAUUGACUGAACCAUUUGAAGAGCUGUCCAGUUUAUCCAAAUCUCAGUCUCUCAGUUCCACACAACAACAAGAGUUUAACAAUGCUGCUGCUGAUCUUGUGCUUGGAUUGUCGUCAUUUGCUACUGGGAAGCAUGCUUAUUAUAGGUGUAUAUGUGUAUGGUGGACCUGUAACUUCUGCUAUCAUAAGUGUGACCAUUUCAUUUUUGCAGUAUUAGGUUGUAAUUUGCUUCUUUUUUUAGCUCUAAGGUGCUAUAUCUAUAGUACUGGUUAUACCAGAGAAAUAAAAGAUGGAGGGAGAGUAAUGGUUACCAUUUUCAAAAAAAAAAAAAAAGACCGGGAGAGUAAGAGUACUUUGAUAUUUUUCUCUGGUUCUAUAUUUGUACUAAUGGUAACUUUGUGCUUAGGAUGCUGGCACAUGACUAGGAAGCUAUUAACAACAUUGAUGCAGAUGUAUCGUAUAACUGCUCUAGUUAAGGAAACUCUUUCUGGGCUUCUUUAUUUAUUUUUAUAAUGGAGUAACUAGGGUGACAUAAUUUUGCCAAAUUUAUAUGGGGCAGUUCCAAGUGAAAGAUUGUGUUGCCAGUAAAUUAAGCUUCUUGGAUUUAUUGUCUUCUGACCUCGGCAUUCUCACUGCUCAGAACCUUUUUAUUGGUUGGUAGCGGGAUGGUUUUGCUAAGAAAGCUUCCAUGUGUCAUGCUCAAUAUUUUACAUAGUGAAUCUGGUGUUUUUCUUUGCCUUUUCUUGUUUUAAGUAUAGAUUGAGACUGUGUCUGGGACAUUGGUACUACGAUGGGUGAAUUCACAACUUGCAAGGAUUUUGAAUUGGGUUGACCGGGAUAUUCAGCAGGAGCGGUGGGUACCGGUUUCACCUCAACAAAGGCAUGGAAGUUCCAUUGUUGAAGUCUACAGGAUUGUGGAAGAGCUAAUAAGGAAGAUAUUGUUCCACCUGUGCCUAUUUUGACGAGAUACUCAAGGGAAAGUGGAAUUAAGGCAUUUGUAAAGAAGGAGUUGAAGGAUACAAGGAUACCAGAUGUCUUGAAGUCUGUUGAAAUUGACGUAGCGGCAACAUCAACGCUUUGUGUGCUGUUGAGAAUAGCCUUCAUGUUAGUAACUUCUACUUUCCCUCUUUUUAUGUAUGAUAACAUCUCAAGCUGUUAAUCAUUUGCUCUCGUAUGUUUCACGUUCGCCCCUUUAUUAUUGAAUCUAAAGGGUGUAUUUCUCUGCACUGGUUUGAUUGGAAAAUCAUGGCUCUGGCCUCUGGCUAGUUUCAUUAGCUUGAAGCUGGACUUUAGAUGCUCUACUUCAUAGUUUGUGCACAAUUCUGUUUUACUUUGAUUAGGCGAUUGCAAAUCUUGUGCGCAUGAUAAGUCAUUUGUUUUAACUUAAUACAGACACUGAUCAACUCAGAGCUUGUACUAUGACCUCUGUUUAGCAAUUUAAAACUAAGAAACUAACUUCCAAAUUUGCUCUUCCCAUGAAUAAUGGUUGCCAAUAUUACAAAUUUUCUAAUUUUCUCUGUUUCAAAAAUAUAUUUCAAAUUUUCUGCCUUUUCUGUUGACAUUAAUUCCAUCUAGGAUAUUAUUUCGUUUAAGUUAACAGUACAGGAAAGUUGUAUCUAAAAACUAGUUGAUGUUUUUGGAUUAGGGGUUGCUAUGCUUGUUCGAAGGCUUCUUCUACCUACCUUUUCUGGUGAACUAUUUUAAGUUAGUUCUGGUAAAAAAAAUCAUAUGUUAUAUAUGCUGUCUGUGCAUUCACUAUAAACCAUAGGAUUCACAUACAUGGACACUUACAAAUAAUAUUAUUGUAUUAUACGACUUAGAUGUUUAUGCAGGCAAUGGAGUUUGCAACAAUAUCAGAUAAUGAGCAGGUAGAGUUCUACAUGACAUUUUCAAUCAAAAAUGCAUUUACAAGGGUAAAGAAUUGUUACCCUUAUAUAAUUACUGCUGUUGAAAUCUUUCUAUAUGUUGGGAUAAUGCUUGUUCAAAGACUAGUUUAAUUAGAUUCUUCCAGUGUUCUAAAAGGCGAUUGCCUCGUCGCCAAUGGCGAGAGGCGAGGCAAGGUAACCGUUCAUUGCCUUUUAGUUUUGUGGCGAGGCGAUCUUCAAAAGACGACGCCAUGGCGACAAAGGCGAGAGGCUAGAAAGGUGUCGCCUUUUGUAUUUUCUUUAAAAAGGUGACCAAUUUAGGGUUUUAAAAGUUGAAAUGUAAUUUUAGGAUUUUCGACUAGACUCUUAAGGCUACUAGCUAGACUUUUUUGGCGACUCCAAAGUCCAACCAAUACGCAUUUCUUCUA
Solanum tuberosum (potato) is the source of this 2999-nucleotide RNA transcript. RefSeq lists it as uncharacterized. The record is from RefSeq and is a predicted model, not a curated record. The transcript is spliced from 7 exons. NCBI's taxonomy places the organism in Eukaryota, Viridiplantae, Streptophyta, Magnoliopsida, Solanales, Solanaceae.